GACACCUUUGCAUCUAGCUGUUCAAUCCCGUAGAACCGAUAUAGUGAGGCUUUUGUUAAUUAAGGGAGCUGACAAGACUCUAAAGAACAGGGAUGGUCUAACCCCACUUGACAUAUGCCUCCAUUCUGGUCGAGAUAUAAGGACGUAUGAGCUUAUCAAAUUGUUGAAACAACUUCCCAAGGUUUCAUUAGUUGGCUUGACCUAAAAAUGCAGCUGCUAACCACGAAAUUGGCGGAUUGGUAGUUCCAGCUUUGAGUUUGGACUCUGUGUGAGUUAUUUCUACAACACACUGCCCUUGAGUUGACCCGAGAAGCGGACUCAGAAUUUAUGCUUACACUGGUAGGGAAGGAAAUUUCUCUUUUUUGAUUCUCACAUUGUACUACACUGCACCAUAGUAUGUGUAAAUACAACUGUAUAUUGUUACUUAUACAUUGGAUUACAGUACAUUUUUGGAUUCCAAAUCUCAGUGACAAAAUAAAAAAGAAAAG
RNAcentral lists this unclassified non-coding RNA (488 nucleotides) under Hevea brasiliensis (rubber tree). Lineage: Eukaryota; Viridiplantae; Streptophyta; Magnoliopsida; Malpighiales; Euphorbiaceae. The record is from RNAcentral.